GUGCUAACUUCAGUAGCACAUAUACUAAAACUGGAACAAUACAGAGAAGAUUAGCAUGACCCCUGCGCAAGGAUGAUGUGCAAAUUUGUGAAGCAUUCCAUGUUUUU
Molecule: small nuclear RNA, 107 nt
Organism: Equus asinus (donkey)
Lineage: Eukaryota; Metazoa; Chordata; Mammalia; Perissodactyla; Equidae
Source: Ensembl